RNAcentral lists this ribosomal RNA (583 nucleotides) under Microbacterium sp. RNAcentral's name for it is "bacterial SSU rRNA". It matches the Rfam family "Bacterial small subunit ribosomal RNA", at positions 199 to 796 of the family's 1533-position model. Lineage: Bacteria; Bacillati; Actinomycetota; Actinomycetes; Micrococcales; Microbacteriaceae. The record is from RNAcentral.
UUGGAAAGAUUUUUCGGUCUGUGAUGGGCUCGCGGCCUAUCAGCUUGUUGGUGAGGUAAUGGCUCACCAAGGCGUCCACGGGUAGCCGGCCUGAGAGGGUGACCGGCCACACUGGGACUGAUACACGGCCCAGACUCCUACGGGAGGCAGCAGUGGGGAAUAUUGCACAAUGGGCGGAAGCCUGAUGCAUCAACGCCGCGUGAGGGAUGACGGUCUUCGGGUUGUAAACCUCUUUUAGCUCUGAAGAAGCGUGAGUGACGGUACCUGCAGAACUGGUGCCGGCUAACUACGUGCCAACAGCCGCGGUAAUACGUAAGGCGCAAGCGUUAUCCGGAAUUAUUGUACGUAGAGAGCUCGUACGCGGUUUGUCGCGUCUGCUGUGAAAUCCCGAGGCUCAACCUCUGUGCUGCAGUGGGUACGGGCUGACUAGAGUGCGGUAGGUGAGAUUGGAAUUCCUGGUGUAGCGGUGAAGUGCGCGGAUAUCCGGAGGAACACCGAUGGUGAAUGCAGAUCUCUGGGCCGUAACUGACGCUGAGGAGCUAUAUGGUGGGUAGCAGACACUGUUAGAUACCACUGGUAGUCC